UACGUAGGUCCCGAGCGUUGUCCGGAUUUAUUGGGCGUAAAGCGAGCGCAGGUGGUUUAUUAAGUCUGGUGUAAAAGGCAGUGGCUCAACCAUUGUAUGCAUUGGAAACUGGUAGACUUGAGUGCAGGAGAGGAGAGUGGAAUUCCAUGUGUAGCGGUGAAAUGCGUAGAUAUAUGGAGGAACACCGGUGGCGAAGGCGGUCUGCUGGACAGCGACUGACGCUGAGGCGCGAAAGCGUGGGGAGCAAACAGG
Molecule: ribosomal RNA, 252 nt
Filed under: uncultured bacterium
Lineage: Bacteria
Description: partial 16S ribosomal RNA
Rfam family: Bacterial small subunit ribosomal RNA
Source: RNAcentral